GUAAUCGCAGAGUCUUACUGGAAACUGACAAACGUCAUUUUGGCUUAUGGUGCGAUGCACCACGGGCUUAAAUGAUGGUGUUUUAUGAUUGAAACUUUAAAUUUCCAUAACUCCUUACCCGGUAAUCAAAUUUAGGUAAAUUUUGUAUCGAUAGAAAGUUUAUUCAAUUUUCCACACAAAAGAAAGUGAAAAUAAUAAAAAUUCCACAUACAUAAAAGUUUAUUCAUGUUUAAAAC
RNAcentral lists this long non-coding RNA (236 nucleotides) under Capsicum annuum. Its description in RNAcentral is "long non-coding RNA (CANN_LNC012328)". Lineage: Eukaryota; Viridiplantae; Streptophyta; Magnoliopsida; Solanales; Solanaceae. The record is from RNAcentral.